Molecule: ribosomal RNA, 442 nt
Filed under: uncultured bacterium
Lineage: Bacteria
Description: partial 16S ribosomal RNA
Rfam family: Bacterial small subunit ribosomal RNA
Source: RNAcentral
CCUACGGGAGGCAGCAGUGGGGAAUAUUGCACAAUGGGGGGAACCCUGAUGCAGCAACGCCGCGUGAAGGAAGACGGUUUUCGGAUUGUAAACUUCUAUCAAUAGGGAAGAAAGAAAUGACGAUACCUAAAUAAGAAGCCCCGGCUAACUACGUGCCAGCAGCCGCGGUAAUACGUAGGGGGCAAGCGUUAUCCGGAUUUAUUGGGUUUAAAGGGUGCGCAGGCGGCGAGUUAAGUCAGCGGUAAAAUUUCGGGGCUCAACCCCGACGAGCCGUUGAAACUGGCUUGCUAGAGUGGGCGAGAAGUAUGCGGAAUGCGUGGUGUAGCGGUGAAAUGCAUAGAUAUCACGCAGAACUCCGAUUGCGAAGGCAGCAUACCGGCGCCCAACUGACGCUCAGGCACGAAAGCGUGGGUAUCGAACAGGAUUAGAUACCCCGGUAGUC